GAAAUCGGAGAAAUGCUGAUCGAAUUCCUUGGCAUUUAAGAGACAGUCGUAAUGCUUUUGAAAUGUCGGAGCGUGAAUUCAUCAGUUGAUUCAGAUUAAAUCGGUUUGCUUCAAUGAAUUGAAACCUUUUCUGAAGGCAACUGCCAAUGGAUAUUCUCUGCAAAAGCAGGUAUGGAAUGCUGGUCUGAGGGUUCUCUAUGCUAUAGGACAAUGGCCAGGCAAUACUCAUGAUGCAUUUAUAUGGAGUGGACUGAAACAAAAUCUAGAUAGUAUUUUGUCGCAUCGUGCAUAUCUUUGGGAGAUAGUGGAUUAUAUUCCCAUUUUAUCACGGGAAUAUCUCUAUAAUGAGAAGCACAGAAAAGUUCGUGCAGCUAUAGAGAUCAAAUCAAGAUUUAGGGUACUGCACGAUACUGGUGGAACACUAUUGUAUUCACAAAGCAAAAUAUGUAAAAUGGUCAUAUCUGGUGGCCAUUUUACAUAAUAUAUGCUUAAGGUAUUGUGUUGAAAAUCCUGAGAUUGAUGUGUUUGAAGAUGAUGAGUUGGUACCUUCAGAAAGUUUUCAGUCAGUGCAUGUUGAAAUUGCAUUGCACAAUGAAUUAUCUUUAAAUUUUGAAACUCGAUAAUAAAAACCCAAAGUGGGCAACAAUGAACCUCUGGCAAAGGUGAAACCCCCUUCAUGGAUAAUAAAGAAUAUAUUAUGAAAAAAAAUUACUUUCAUAAUAUAUUCUUGGGGACCCACAAGCCAUGGUUUAUAUUUAAACCUGUAACUAAAUGCACAACCCUAAAUGAUUUUAAUUGAUAAUAAUAAUCCUAAAUAAUUUUAUUAGUCCUGGUUUCAAAUGCAUACUGACAACUUUUAUCAUUAUUGUUCUUCCCUCUGAAUUUCUUGUUUCCAUCAUUUAUGUUUAAAAACUCUUGACUACCAGAAAUAACUUAAUAGGCUUGAUAUAUAUAUAUUUUAGUGUUGGUAUGCCAGUCAUGAUUUACAAUAGUAAGUCACUAUAAAUUAGCAUUGCACUUAAUUUAUCUUAAACUUAGCAAUAAGAUUUACUGCAC
This is a long non-coding RNA of Stegodyphus dumicola, 1056 nucleotides long. Lineage: Eukaryota; Metazoa; Arthropoda; Arachnida; Araneae; Eresidae. The record is from RefSeq and is a predicted model, not a curated record.